AGCAGCCGCGGUAAUUCCAGCUCCAAUAGCGUAUAUUAAAGUUGUUGCAGUUAAAAAGCUCGUAGUUGAAUUUCGGGAUUAAUUUACUGGUCGUGCUAUUGUACGUACUGGUGUUAUUGAUUCCUCCCUUCUGACGAACUAUGAUGCCAUUAAUUUGGUGUCUUAGGGAAUCAGGGCUGUUACUUUGAAAAAAUUAGAGUGUUUAAAGCAGGCUCACGCUUGAAUACAUUAGCAUGGAAUAACGGAAUAGGACGUUUGAUUCUAUUUUGUUGGUUUCUAGGAUCGACGUAAUGAUUAAUAGGGAUAGUUGGGGGCAUUAGUAUUCAAUUGUCAGAGGUGAAAUUCUUGGAUUUAUUGAAGACUAACUACUGCGAAAGCAUUUGCCAAGGAUGUUUUCAUUAAUCAAGAACGAAAGUUAGGGGAUCGAAGACGAUCAGAUACCGUCGUAGUCUUAACCAUAAACUAUGCCGACUAGGGAUCGGAUGAUGUUAAUUUUUAAUGACUCAUUCGGCGCCCUACG
This 520-nucleotide ribosomal RNA is filed under the name uncultured Glomus. RNAcentral describes it as "SSU rRNA". It matches the Rfam family "Eukaryotic small subunit ribosomal RNA", at positions 569 to 1092 of the family's 1831-position model. The record is from RNAcentral. Lineage: Eukaryota; Fungi; Glomeromycota; Glomeromycetes; Glomerales; Glomeraceae.